UACGUAGGCAGCGAGCGUUGUUCGGAAUUACUGGGCGUAAAGGGCGCGUAGGUGGCGGGACAAGCGUGCGGUGAAAGCUCGGGGCUCAACCCCGAGUCGGCCGUGCGAACUGUUUUGCUUGAGCACUGUAGAGGCAGGCGGAAUUCCGGGUGUAGCGGUGGAAUGCGUAGAGAUCCGGAAGAACACCGGUGGUGAAGGCGGCCUGCUGGGCAGUAGCUGACACUGAGGCGCGACAGCGUGGGGAGCAAACAGG
This 253-nucleotide ribosomal RNA is filed under the name uncultured bacterium. Its description in RNAcentral is "partial 16S ribosomal RNA". It matches the Rfam family "Bacterial small subunit ribosomal RNA", at positions 524 to 776 of the family's 1533-position model. The record is from RNAcentral.